AGUCAAGUACAGGGGGGUACAUUUCAUUAACGUGAUAUUAAUACAACUAAAUAACACACACACACACACACACACACACACACACACACACACACACACACACACACGGAACAAGAGUGACGGAAAAGGAGGAACCUUCUUACUGGUUAUGGAGGUGCAGUGGGUUGUGUAACAUCAGAUCAUCCACACACACGUGCACGCACACACUCACACACACACACUCACACACACACACACACUUAGAACACACUGACAAUGAGAGCAGAGACCCUGAUCCUUACAGGAUUACUUUUACUGAGGUUCGGUCGAGGAGAACUGGACCCUAAAAUCAUUUCAUUUAGCCGAGGAGUUCAGCUGUUUGUUAAAGGUAUUUAUGUCGAGGCUCCCAAACUGCAGAUCCUGCUACCUGCAGGACUUUGGAUGGAGACGUCCGACGCCGACAUCUUCACGUGUAUCAUUACGGGAUUACACACCACACAGAUACGUGUCACUUGGAAGAUUAAUAAGACCACAGUUACAGAAAGACACACCACGGCUGACAUCUUCAAGGAGCCUGAUGGCACGUACACUGCAUUAGGGCACUUCUACCCCUCACCGGGGCACAAGCUGACGACCGAGGAGGUAUACAGAUGUGAGGUCGAGCAAGCAGGAAUGAUUUACUAUGAAGAAGUCUGGCCGUCUCACUGUGAUUAGACUCUGUGACACACAGUGGAUUUGGCGUGAUGCUUUAUAGACUAUUUUGGAUUGAUAUGAAGGCCUUACUUGGGGUUGCCAGGUUUUUGGGUGAUCCUGCACCUUCUCCUUCUACUGGCUCUUAAUCCUGUUCUUGACAUACUGUUUGUUCUGAGAUGCUGUUCCAUUCACCACGGUUGUAAAGACUGUGGAUAUAUGAGUUAUUGUAUCCUUUUUGGCAGCUGAGAUGUUUGAGGAACAUGUGCUUGACUUGUAUUUGCAUGAUGAGGGAGGUGGUAUCAUAGUGGUGGAGGCAUUGGACUUUGGAUCAGAAAGUCAUGAAUUAAAAUUCCCAGCCACACCAAGCUGCAACUCCUGGGCCCCUGACCAAGGCCCUUAACCCGCUAGCUGUUUAGUUAAGUGAUUGAGAUGAAGGUAAAUCACUCUGGAUAAGUAAGGACAUCUGAAAAAUGCUGUAAAUGUAAAUGCAUGAAGUCACAUUGCUGUUAUUUGAUUGGCUGGUGGGUUAAUUGCAUGCAUAUACAGGUUCCUAUUAACGUGCCUGGUGUGUGUAUUUGGUAAUGAUUUGUGAUCUGUUUUAUUGGCCACUGGGUUCCUUUUUAAAAUCCAUUAGUAAGGAUCUAUUUUGCAUUAUAUGGCAACCAUGUUUAAAUAUUAAAUGAAGAACAUUAAGAGCGCCACAUGGGGGCGCAACGUGUCUGUAGUCUGGACUGGAGUGUGUGAAGAGGGAAAGACCUGAUUUAGAGUUUACUGUAAAUCUGAGACAAAGUGUGUUUAAAUCCUUGUGAAAACAUUGUUAGGAAAAUGAAUUCAGAUAAAGUAUUUAUUUAUAUCAGAUCAGAUCAAAGUUAUUUCAUGUAUUUUCUUCAUUUUAUGUCUCUUUCGUUCAUUCUUUCUUUCUGAAAUGUUGAUAAAAUAAGAUUUACAUAUACACAUAUUUAUGUAUUACUAUAAUUGACAUUUUGUACUUACAAAAACCUCACACACCACAUAAUUGAGUGCACGCACACACACACACACACACACACACACACACACACACACA
This is an RNA transcript of Silurus meridionalis, 1738 nucleotides long. RefSeq lists it as uncharacterized. The record is from RefSeq and is a predicted model, not a curated record. NCBI's taxonomy places the organism in Eukaryota, Metazoa, Chordata, Actinopteri, Siluriformes, Siluridae. The transcript has 4 exons.